UGCAAUACCUUAAUCCACGAAUAAAAGUAAAAGCUUUAAAGCGGCUAACCGUUAAUUAGCAGACUAU
RNAcentral lists this transfer RNA (67 nucleotides) under Lamprotula leaii. RNAcentral describes it as "tRNA-Asn". Lineage: Eukaryota; Metazoa; Mollusca; Bivalvia; Unionida; Unionidae. The record is from RNAcentral.